RNAcentral lists this transfer RNA (88 nucleotides) under Bacillota bacterium. Its description in RNAcentral is "Firmicutes bacterium (anaerobic digester metagenome) tRNA-Ser". It matches the Rfam family "tRNA". Rfam says of the family: Transfer RNA (tRNA) molecules are approximately 80 nucleotides in length. Their secondary structure includes four short double-helical elements and three loops (D, anti-codon, and T loops). Lineage: Bacteria; Bacillati; Bacillota. The record is from RNAcentral.
GGAGGAGUGUCCGAGUGGUUGAAGGAGGCGGUCUUGAAAACCGCUAGGUCGCAAGGCCUCGUGGGUUCGAAUCCCACUUCCUCCGCCA